Marivirga tractuosa DSM 4126 is the source of this 75-nucleotide transfer RNA. It matches the Rfam family "tRNA". Rfam says of the family: Transfer RNA (tRNA) molecules are approximately 80 nucleotides in length. The record is from Rfam. NCBI's taxonomy places the organism in Bacteria, Pseudomonadati, Bacteroidota, Cytophagia, Cytophagales, Marivirgaceae.
GGGGAUAUAGCUCAGUUGGUUUAGAGCACCUGCCUUACAAGCAGGGGGUCGUAGGUUCGAAUCCUACUAUCCCCA